GCAGUGGUGGUUCAGUGGUAGAACUCCUGCCUUUCGUGAAGGAGAUCCAGGUUCAAUUCCUGGCCAAAGCA
Molecule: non-coding RNA, 71 nt
Organism: Trichechus manatus latirostris (Florida manatee)
Lineage: Eukaryota; Metazoa; Chordata; Mammalia; Sirenia; Trichechidae
Source: the annotation of a RefSeq genome assembly